UGAGGAAUAUUGGUCAAUGGGCGAGAGCCUGAACCAGCCAAGUAGCGUGAAGGAUGACUGCCCUAUGGGUUGUAAACUUCUUUUAUAAAGGAAUAAAGUCGGGUAUGCAUACCCGUUUGCAUGUACUUUAUGAAUAAGGAUCGGCUAACUCCGUGCCAGCAGCCGCGGUAAUACGGAGGAUCCGAGCGUUAUCCGGAUUUAUUGGGUUUAAAGGGAGCGUAGAUGGAUGUUUAAGUCAGUUGUGAAAGUUUGCGGCUCAACCGUAAAAUUGCAGUUGAUACUGGAUAUCUUGAGUGCAGUUGAGGCAGGCGGAAUUCGUGGUGUAGCGGUGAAAUGCUUAGAUAUCACGAAGAACUCCGAUUGCGAAGGCAGCCUGCUAAGCUGCAACUGACAUUGAGGCUCGAAAGUGUGGGUAUCAAACAGGAUUAGAUACCCUGGUAGUCCACACGGUAAACGAUGAAUACUCGCUGUUUGCGAUAUACUGCAAGCGGCCAAGCGAAAGCGUUAAGUAUUCCACCUGGGGAGUACGCCGGCAACGGUGAAACUCAAAGGAAUUGACGGGGGCCCGCACAAGCGGAGGAACAUGUGGUUUAAUUCGAUGAUACGCGAGGAACCUUACCCGGGCUUAAAUUGCAGAUGAAUUACGGUGAAAGCCGUAAGCCGCAAGGCAUCUGUGAAGGUGCUGCAUGGUUGUCGUCAGCUCGUGCCGUGAGGUGUCGGCUUAAGUGCCAUAACGAGCGCAACCCUUGUUGUCAGUUACUAACAGGUUCCGCUGAGGACUCUGACAAGACUGCCAUCGUAAGAUGUGAGGAAGGUGGGGAUGACGUCAAAUCAGCACGGCCCUUACGUCCGGGGCUACACACGUGUUACAAUGGGGGGUACAGAGGGCCGCUACCACGCGAGUGGAUGCCAAUCCCCAAAACCUCUCUCAGUUCGGACUGGAGUCUGCAACCCGACUCCACGAAGCUGGAUUCGCUAGUAAUCGCGCAUCAGCCACGGCGCGGUGAAUACGUUCCC
This 1017-nucleotide ribosomal RNA is filed under the name uncultured bacterium. RNAcentral describes it as "bacterial SSU rRNA". It matches the Rfam family "Bacterial small subunit ribosomal RNA", at positions 355 to 1375 of the family's 1533-position model. The record is from RNAcentral.